CGUGUAGGCGGUUUCUUUAGUCCGAUGUGAAAGCCCGGGGCUCACCCUCGGAAGUGCAUCGGAUACUGGGAGACUUGAGUACCGGAGAGGAGGGUGGAAUUCCUGGUGUAGCGGUGAAAUGCGUAGAUAUCAGGAGGAACACCGGUGGCGAAGGCGGCCCUCUGGACGGAUACUGACGCUGAGACGCGAAAGCGUGGGGAGCAAACAGGAUUAGAUACCCUGGUAGUCCACGCUGUAAACGAUGGGUACUAGGUGUUCGGGGUAUUGACCCCCUGAGUGCCGCAGCUAACGCAUUAAGUACCCCGCCUGGGGACUACGGCCGCAAGGUUAAA
This 332-nucleotide ribosomal RNA is filed under the name uncultured bacterium. Its description in RNAcentral is "bacterial SSU rRNA". It matches the Rfam family "Bacterial small subunit ribosomal RNA", at positions 568 to 898 of the family's 1533-position model. The record is from RNAcentral.